GGGGUAGAGUAAUGCGUGACCAACCUGCCCCAUGCUCCAGAAUAGCUCUUGGAAACGGGUGGUAAUGCUGAAUGCUCCAACUUGACGCAUGUCUUGUUGGGAAAGUGUUUAGUGGCAUGGGAUGGGGUCGCGUCCUAUCAGCUUGUAGGCGGGGUAAUGGCCCACCUAGGCUUCGACGGGUAGCCGGCCUGAGAGGGCGGACGGCCACAUUGGGACUGAGAUACGGCCCAGACUCCUACGGGAGGCAGCAGNG
Molecule: ribosomal RNA, 253 nt
Filed under: uncultured Gardnerella sp.
Lineage: Bacteria; Bacillati; Actinomycetota; Actinomycetes; Bifidobacteriales; Bifidobacteriaceae
Description: partial 16S ribosomal RNA
Rfam family: Bacterial small subunit ribosomal RNA
Source: RNAcentral